UAGGGAAUAUUGGUUAAUCUGCGAAAGCGGGAACCAGCAACGCCGCGUGUGCGAUGAAGGCCUUCGGGUCGUAAAGCACUUUUUAGAGGGAUGAGGAAGGACAGUACCUCUAGAAUAAGCCUCGGCUAACUACGUGCCAGCAGCCGCGGUAAAACGUAGGAGGCGAGCGUUAUCCGGAUUUACUGGGCGUAAAGCGCGUGCAGGCGGUUUGGAAAGUUGGAUGUGAAAGCUCCCGGCUUAACUGGGAGAGGUCGUUCAAAACUACCAGACUAGAGAGUGGUAGAGGAAGGCGGAAUUCCGGGUGUAGUGGUGAAAUGCGUAGAUAUCCGGAGGAACACCAGUGGCGAAAGCGGCCUUCUGGACCACUUCUGACGCUCAGACGCGAAAGUGUGGGGAUCAAACA
This 403-nucleotide ribosomal RNA is filed under the name uncultured prokaryote. RNAcentral's name for it is "bacterial SSU rRNA". It matches the Rfam family "Bacterial small subunit ribosomal RNA", at positions 355 to 774 of the family's 1533-position model. The record is from RNAcentral.